RNAcentral lists this ribosomal RNA (557 nucleotides) under uncultured Entrophosporaceae. RNAcentral describes it as "SSU rRNA". It matches the Rfam family "Eukaryotic small subunit ribosomal RNA", at positions 548 to 1098 of the family's 1831-position model. Lineage: Eukaryota; Fungi; Glomeromycota; Glomeromycetes; Entrophosporales; Entrophosporaceae. The record is from RNAcentral.
UUGGAGGGCAAGUCUGGUGCCAGCAGCCGCGGUAAUUCCAGCUCCAAUAGCGUAUAUUAAAGUUGUUGCAGUUAAAAAGCUCGUAGUUGAAUUUCGGGAUUGACGUGAUGGUCAUGCCUUAAGGGGUAUGAACUGUUACUGUUGAUUUCUCACCUUCUGGAGAAACUUGAUGUCCUUUAUUGGGUGUCUUGCGGAUCCAGGACCUUUACCUUGAAAAAAUUAGAGUGUUUAAAGCAGGCAUUUUUUGCUCGAAUACAUUAGCAUGGAAUAAUAGAAUAGGACGGCAUGGUUCUAUUUUGUUGGUUUCUAGGAUCACCGUAAUGAUUAAUAGGGAUAGUUGGGGGCAUUAGUACUCAAUUGUCAGAGGUGAAAUUCUUGGAUUUAUUGAAGACUAACUACUGCGAAAGCAUUUGCCAAGGAUGUUUUCAUUAAUCAAGAACGAAAGUUAGGGGAUCGAAGACGAUCAGAUACCGUCGUAGUCUUAACCAUAAACUAUGCCGACUAGGAAUCAGACGAUGUUAAUUUUUUAAUGACUCGUUCGGCGCCUUACGGGAAAC